UGUUCUUUCGUCGUAGCUGGUGCCGGUUUAAAAGCCGGAGAAUAGGGAAGUACGUGAAAGUCGUACACUGUACCCGCAACUGUACAACGGUAUACUGCUGAAGUCGUUCAUGGCCACAUGCAUGAGGACGGCAGUCGUUUCAGGUCACUGCAUCGUUUUCCGCCCAGGAAAACUGCGGGAAGGCCGGAACGGAGACAAGCCGUGAUAGUCAGGAGACCUGCCAGUUAUUUUUGCAUUAC
This 239-nucleotide non-coding RNA is filed under the name Chlorobium limicola. Lineage: Bacteria; Pseudomonadati; Chlorobiota; Chlorobiia; Chlorobiales; Chlorobiaceae. The record is from RNAcentral.